RNAcentral lists this ribosomal RNA (492 nucleotides) under uncultured bacterium. Its description in RNAcentral is "partial 16S ribosomal RNA". It matches the Rfam family "Bacterial small subunit ribosomal RNA", at positions 29 to 507 of the family's 1533-position model. The record is from RNAcentral.
AGUGAACGCUGGCGGUAGGCCUAACACAUGCAAGUCGAACGGCAGCACAGUAAGAGCUUGCUCUUACGGGUGGCGAGUGGCGGACGGGUGAGGAAUACAUCGGAAUCUACUUUUUCGUGGGGGAUAACGUAGGGAAACUUACGCUAAUACCGCAUACGACCUACGGGUGAAAGCAGGGGAUCUUCGGACCUUGCGCGAUUGAAUGAGCCGAUGUCGGAUUAGCUAGUUGGCGGGGUAAAGGCCCACCAAGGCGACGAUCCGUAGCUGGUCUGAGAGGAUGAUCAGCCACACUGGAACUGAGACACGGUCCAGACUCCUACGGGAGGCAGCAGUGGGGAAUAUUGGACAAUGGGCGCAAGCCUGAUCCAGCCACACCGCGUGGGUGAAGAAGGCCUUCGGGUUGUAAAGCCCUUUUGUUGGGAAAGAAAGGCAGCAGGUUAAUACCCCGCUGUUCUGACGGUACCCAAAGAAUAAGCACCGGCUAACUUCGUG